GAAAUGCGAUAAGUAGUGUGAAUUGCAGAAUUCAGUGAAUCAUCGAAUCUUUGAACGCACAUUGCGCCCCUUGGUAUUCCAUGGGGCAUGCCUGUUCGAGCGUCAGUUGUACCCUCAAGCUUUGCUUGGUGUUGGGCGUCUUUUCCUCUUCUGGAGGACUCGCCUCAAAACAAUUGGCAGCAGGCAUAUUGGCAUCGGAGCGGAGAAAAAGUCGCACUUUGUUCCAUGAAUGUUGGCAUCCAUCAAGACCAUUUUUUCACUUAUGACCUCGGAUCAGGUAGGGAUACCCGCUGAACUUAA
This 300-nucleotide unclassified non-coding RNA is filed under the name uncultured Pleosporales. RNAcentral describes it as "sequence contains ITS1". The stretch from base 1 to 105 matches the Rfam family "5.8S ribosomal RNA", at positions 50 to 154 of the family's 154-position model. Lineage: Eukaryota; Fungi; Ascomycota; Dothideomycetes; Pleosporales. The record is from RNAcentral.